GUCUUUUUGUUUAAAUAUGAAGUCUCGCCUGCCCACUGAAAGUUUUAAAUGGCCGCGGUAUUUUGACCGUGCUAAGGUAGCAUAAUCAUUAGUUUUUUAAUUGAAAGCUAGAAUGAAGGGUUGGAUGAAAAAAUAACUGUCUCUAUUUAAUUUAUUUGAAUUUUAUUUUUAAGUAAAAAAGCUUAAAUUUUAUUGAAAGACGAGAAGACCCUAUAGAGUUUUAUUUGUUUAAAUUUUAAUUAUUUUUAGUAUUAAAAUUAUUUAGUUUUAAACAAAUUUAAUUGGGGUGAUUAAAAAAUUUAAUUAACUUUUUUUUUAUACUUAUAUUAAUUAAUAAUUAAUUGAUCCAAUAAUUUUGAUUAUAAGAUUAAAUUACCUUAGGGAUAACAGCGUAAUUUUAUUGGAGAGUUCAAAUUGAUAAUAAAGAUUGCGACCUCGAUGUUGGAUUAAAAUUUAUAAUUGGUGCAGAAGCUAUAUUAUUAAGUCUGUUCGACU
This 495-nucleotide ribosomal RNA is filed under the name Acalymma fairmairei. RNAcentral's name for it is "partial 16S ribosomal RNA". It matches the Rfam family "Bacterial large subunit ribosomal RNA", at positions 1830 to 2586 of the family's 2925-position model. Lineage: Eukaryota; Metazoa; Arthropoda; Insecta; Coleoptera; Chrysomelidae. The record is from RNAcentral.